Molecule: ribosomal RNA, 484 nt
Filed under: uncultured bacterium
Lineage: Bacteria
Description: partial 16S ribosomal RNA
Rfam family: Bacterial small subunit ribosomal RNA
Source: RNAcentral
AUUGAACGCUGGCGGCAUGCCUAACACAUGCCAGUCGAGCGGAUGAAGGGAGCUUGCUCCUGGAUGCAGCGGCGGACGGGUGAGUGAGGCCUAGGAAGCUGCCUGGUAUUUGGGGAUAACGUCCGUAAACGGGCGCUAAUACCGCAUACGUCGUGAUGGAGAAAGGGGGGGAUCUUCGGACCUCGCGCUAUCAGAUGAGCCUAGGUCGGAUUAGCUAGUUGGUUGGGUAAAGGCCUACCAAGGCGACGAUCCGUAACUGGUCUGAGAGGAUGAUCAGUCACACUGGAACUGAGACACGGUCCAGACUCCUACGGGAGGCAGCAGUGGGGAAUCUUGGACAAUGGGCGAAAGCCUGAUCCAGCCAUGCCGCGUGUGUGAAGAAGGUCUUCGGAUUGUAAAGCACUUUAAGUUGGGAGGAAGGGCAGUAAGUUAAUACCUUGCUGUUUUGACGUUACCAACAGAAUAAGCACCGGCUAACUUCGUG